This 427-nucleotide ribosomal RNA is filed under the name uncultured bacterium. Its description in RNAcentral is "partial 16S ribosomal RNA". It matches the Rfam family "Bacterial small subunit ribosomal RNA", at positions 355 to 774 of the family's 1533-position model. The record is from RNAcentral.
UGGGGAAUAUUGGACAAUGGGCGAAAGCCUGAUCCGGCCAUGCCGCGUGUGUGAAGAAGGUCUUCGGAUUGUAAAGCACUUUAAGUUGGGAGGAAGGGCAUUAACCUAAUACGUUAGUGUUUUGACGUUACCGCCAAAAUAAGCACCGGCUAACUCUGUGCCAGCAGCCGCGGUAAUACAGAGGGUGCAACCGUUAAUCGGAAUUACUGGGCGUAAAGCGCGCGUAGGUGGUUUGUUAAGUUGGAUGUGAAAUCCCCGGGCUCAACCUGGGAACUGCAUUCAAAACUGACUGACUAGAGUAUGGUAGAGGGUGGUGGAAUUUCCUGUGUAGCGGUGAAAUGCGUAGAUAUAGGAAGGAACACCAGUGGCGAAGGCGACCACCUGGACUAAUACUGACACUGAGGUGCGAAAGCGUGGGGAGCAAACA